This 253-nucleotide ribosomal RNA is filed under the name uncultured bacterium. RNAcentral's name for it is "partial 16S ribosomal RNA". It matches the Rfam family "Bacterial small subunit ribosomal RNA", at positions 524 to 776 of the family's 1533-position model. The record is from RNAcentral.
UACGAGCGGCCCAAACGUUAUUCGGAAUUACUGGGCUUAAAGAGUUCGUAGGCGGCGCAGAAAGUAGGGUGUGAAAGCCCUCGGCUCAACCGAGGAAUUGCGCUCUAAACUACUGUGCUUGAGGAAGCUAGAGGUGAGCGGAACUGAUGGUGGAGCGGUGAAAUGCGUUGAUAUCAUCAGGAACACCGGAGGCGAAGGCGGCUCACUGGGGCUUUUCUGACGCUGAGGAACGAAAGCGUGGGGAGCAAACAGG